RNAcentral lists this ribosomal RNA (465 nucleotides) under uncultured bacterium. RNAcentral's name for it is "partial 16S ribosomal RNA". It matches the Rfam family "Bacterial small subunit ribosomal RNA", at positions 339 to 795 of the family's 1533-position model. The record is from RNAcentral.
CUACGGGUGGCUGCAGUGAGGAAUUUUGCGCAAUGGGGGAAACCCUGACGCAGCAACGCCGCGUGAGUGAUGAAGGCCUUCGGGUCGUAAAGCUCUGUCAAGUGGGAAGAACCUAUAUAAUGCCAAUACCAUUAUAUAUUGACGGUACCACUGAAGGAAGCACCGGCUAACUCCGUGCCAGCAGCCGCGGUAAUACGGGGGGUGCAAGCGUUAUUCGGAAUCAUUGGGCGUAAAGAGCACGUAGGCGGCCUGGUAAGUCAGAUGUGAAAGCCCGGGGCUUAACCGCGGAAGUGCAUUUGAUACUGUCAGGCUUGAGUAUGGGAGAGGGAAGUGGAAUUCCUGGUGUAGAGGUGAAAUUCGUAGAUAUCAGGAGGAACACCGGUGGCGAAGGCGACUUCCUGGACCAAUACUGACGCUGAGGUGCGAAGGCGUGGGUAGCAAACAGGAUUAGAUACCCUCGUAGUC